Ciona intestinalis (vase tunicate) is the source of this 386-nucleotide non-coding RNA. The record is from RefSeq and is a predicted model, not a curated record. Lineage: Eukaryota; Metazoa; Chordata; Ascidiacea; Phlebobranchia; Cionidae.
CAUAUCCAUAGAAACCAACUUCUCCCACUCCAAGUAUAUCUCAUCACUAGGUGGCUCUCCCUGCGGCGAAAAUUUUUGGAUUCAUUAAAACAAAAUUUGUAAAAAAACAACGAAAGGUUUCAAGAUUUUAUAGAAACAGAUCUACAUGCAUUGAUUUGCAUUUCUGCUGCAGUUGCAUUGUUUCAGCUUGCUUCAUAGCCAACUCAGAGACAAGAGACAUCAUUUUUCGUGUUACGUCUUUUAUACGUGAUUGGAACCCAUUAACCUAAAUAGAAAAUGAUUCAAAAAGGUACCGGUUGAUUGUUACAAUUUUAAUAUGCAUUGCUGAGAUGUUAAUAGUAAUAACUUUUAUUUUUCGCUGUAUUUUACUUGCCCAAAUCAUUUUU